RNAcentral lists this long non-coding RNA (315 nucleotides) under Apteryx rowi (Okarito brown kiwi). Its description in RNAcentral is "lncRNA (ENSARWG00000000009.1)". Lineage: Eukaryota; Metazoa; Chordata; Aves; Apterygiformes; Apterygidae. The record is from RNAcentral.
GUCUUUCUAAACUAGACAAACUUAGUCAUGAGAAACAGCAGAGGUUGAAGAAAUUCUAGAGCCUGAGUAUGACAAUCUCCCAUCCUUGCAAGAGUCUGAAGGCUAGUAUUCUAAGCACAACCAGGUGGUGAUCACAUGACCACUGGAAAGAAACCAAGUAGACAAGAAACAGAUUUCCUGUGUAAAAAAAUCCAAGAAAAUAAUACUGAAGAAAUCAAAGAUUAUAAAAACAAAUUAUUUUCUCUGGUUCCUGUUUAUGGCUUCUUACUCCAGUCUGGUUCCCUACUGCUCCUCUCGGGGAAUAACUUCAGGUAA